This 426-nucleotide ribosomal RNA is filed under the name Triticum aestivum (bread wheat). Its description in RNAcentral is "partial small subunit ribosomal RNA". The record is from RNAcentral. Lineage: Eukaryota; Viridiplantae; Streptophyta; Magnoliopsida; Poales; Poaceae.
AUGAGUUGGAACGUACGCGGCCUGAACUCGCCAGCGAAGCGAGAGGCCGUUCGAGAGGUAGUCGCAGCACACCGCACCACCAUUUUGUGCAUGCAAGAGACCAAGAUUGACGAGUGGACGUCGGCCCACAUCUGUGACAUCGGCGGCCCAAUUCUGCGCGGCUGUGCAGUACUGCCCGCUAUUGGCACGCGGGGCGGCAUCGCCAUUCUCUGGAACCAAGACCUGGUAGACGUCGACACCCACGCCAUAGGCCAGUUUGCGAUCACGGUUAAGGUCUCUGUAGCUAGGCACCCGACCUCUUUCUGGUUAACCACGGUCUAUGCCCCGACUGAUGAUGCGAGCAAAGAGGCCUUCCUCACCGAGAUCGCGAAUUCUGCCCCGCCUAGCCCCAUGGCUCAUCAAUGGCAAUUUCAAUCAAAUUUAUGA